RNAcentral lists this ribosomal RNA (377 nucleotides) under uncultured bacterium. RNAcentral's name for it is "bacterial SSU rRNA". It matches the Rfam family "Bacterial small subunit ribosomal RNA", at positions 790 to 1167 of the family's 1533-position model. The record is from RNAcentral.
GUAGUCCACGCCGUAAACGAUGUCUACUAGAUGUUCGUGGUCUUGUACCGUGAGUAUCGCAGCUAACGCAUUAAGUAGACCGCCUGGGGAGUACGGUCGCAAGAUUAAAACUCAAAUGAAUUGACGGGGGCCCGCACAAGCGGUGGAGCAUGUGGUUUAAUUCGACGCAACGCGAAGAACCUUACCUACUCUUGACAUCUACAGAAGAACGCAGAGAUGUGUUUGUGCCUUCGGGAACUGUAAGACAGGUGCUGCAUGGCUGUCGUCAGCUCGUGUUGUGAAAUGUUGGGUUAAGUCCCGCAACGAGCGCAACCCUUAUCCUUAGUUGCCAGCGAUUCGGUCGGGAACUCUAGGGAGACUGCCGGUGAUAAACCGGA